UACGUAGGGUGCAAGCGUUAAUCGGAAUUACUGGGCGUAAAGCGUGCGCAGGCGGUUGUGCAAGACAGAUGUGAAAUCCCCGGGCUUAACCUGGGAGCUGCAUUUGUGACUGCACGGCUAGAGUGUGUCAGAGGGGGGUAGAAUUCCACGUGUAGCAGUGAAAUGCGUAGAUAUGUGGAGGAAUACCGAUGGCGAAGGCAGCCCCCUGGGAUAACACUGACGCUCAUGCACGAAAGCGUGGGGAGCAAACAGG
Molecule: ribosomal RNA, 253 nt
Filed under: uncultured bacterium
Lineage: Bacteria
Description: partial 16S ribosomal RNA
Rfam family: Bacterial small subunit ribosomal RNA
Source: RNAcentral